RNAcentral lists this ribosomal RNA (253 nucleotides) under uncultured bacterium. Its description in RNAcentral is "partial 16S ribosomal RNA". It matches the Rfam family "Bacterial small subunit ribosomal RNA", at positions 524 to 776 of the family's 1533-position model. The record is from RNAcentral.
UACGUAGGAUGCGAGCGUUGUCCGGAAUUAUUGGGCGUAAAGAGAACGUAGGCGGUUUCUUAAGUUCGAUCUUAAAGACCGGGGCUCAACCCCGGGAAUGGAUUGAAAACUGGGAGACUGGAGGACGUCAGAGGAAAGUGGAAUUCCCAGUGUAGCGGUGAAAUGCGUAGAUAUUGGGAGGAACACCAGUGGCGAAAGCGACUUUCUGGGACGUUCCUGACGCUGAGGUUCGAAAGCUCGGGGAGCAAACAGG